Molecule: non-coding RNA, 234 nt
Organism: Pelobates cultripes (western spadefoot toad)
Lineage: Eukaryota; Metazoa; Chordata; Amphibia; Anura; Pelobatidae
Source: the annotation of a GenBank genome assembly
UAUCUUUGCCUGUCGAUGCCCUAUCCCCUUUAAAGGGGCGUUUGCAUGGGGGUCACUCUAGAUUCGAGAGAUGUGAGUCCUUGGAGUCAGAGUUGUGGUGAGUGGGACGAUUAAUGUCAAUGGAAGAUAGUUCACGGAAAGCUGUCAGAGCUUUUGGUAUAGACUCCAUGACAGCAGAAUAGAGCCAAGCCCACAACUCAGCAGAGAUUGCUGUGUCUGUCUGAUCAAUUAUUC